UGGAAACAUUUCUGCACAAACUAG
Molecule: microRNA, 24 nt
Filed under: Mus musculus (house mouse)
Lineage: Eukaryota; Metazoa; Chordata; Mammalia; Rodentia; Muridae
Description: mmu-miR-147-5p
Gene: mmu-miR-147-5p
Source: miRBase by way of RNAcentral